CCUACGGGAGGCAGCAGUGAGGAAUAUUGGUCAAUGGGCUAAGGCCUGAACCAGCCAAAUCGCGUGCACGAAGACGGUCCUAUGGAUUGUAAACCUCUUUUGUCGGGGAGCACCGAGGCCACGUGUGGCCAUAGUGAGAUUACCCGAAGAAAAAGCAUCGGCUAACUCCGUGCCAGCAGCCGCGGUAAUACGGAGGAUGCGAGCGUUAUCCGGAUUUAUUGGGUUUAAAGGGUGCGUAGGCGGAACAUUAAGUCAGGAGUAAAAUCGAGGGGCUAAACCCCUUUAAGCCGUUGAAACUGGUGAUCUUGAGUGAGCGAGAAGUAUGCGGAAUGCGAGGUGUAGCGGUGAAAUGCAGAGAUAUCACGCAGAACACCGAUGGCGAAGGCAGCAUACCGGCGCCAGACUGACGCUGAGGGACGAAAGCGUGGGGAGCGAACAGGAUUAGAUACCCCUGUAGUC
Molecule: ribosomal RNA, 459 nt
Filed under: uncultured bacterium
Lineage: Bacteria
Description: partial 16S ribosomal RNA
Rfam family: Bacterial small subunit ribosomal RNA
Source: RNAcentral